This 460-nucleotide ribosomal RNA is filed under the name uncultured bacterium. RNAcentral's name for it is "partial 16S ribosomal RNA". It matches the Rfam family "Bacterial small subunit ribosomal RNA", at positions 338 to 795 of the family's 1533-position model. The record is from RNAcentral.
CCUACGGGAGGCAGCAGUGAGGAAUAUUGGUCAAUGGACGAGAGUCUGAACCAGCCAAGUAGCGUGAAGGAUGACUGCCCUAUGGGUUGUAAACUUCUUUUAUCAAGGAAUAAAACGAGGCACGUGUGCCUUUUUGCAUGUACUUUAUGAAUAAGGAUCGGCUAACUCCGUGCCAGCAGCCGCGGUAAUACGGAGGAUCCGAGCGUUAUCCGGAUUUAUUGGGUUUAAAGGGAGCGUAGAUGGGUUGUUAAGUCAGUUGUGAAAGUUUGCGGCUCAACCUUAGAAUUGCAAUUGAUACUGGCAGUCUAGAGUACAGUUGAGGUAGGCGGAAUUCGUGGUGUAGCGGUGAAAUGCUUAGAUAUCACGAAGAACCCCGAUUGCGAAGGCAGCUUACUAAACUGUGACUGACAUUGAUGCUCGAAAGUGUGGGUAUCAAACAGGAUUAGAUACCCUAGUAGUC